GCCGUUGGAAGUCGAAGUUGGCGGCCGGAAUUGCUGACGCCAGCCGCCGUCGCAGUCGGAAUUUUUGUGGCUGACAAUUGAAGAAACCAAUAGCGGCAGCCGCAAGACCAAUUCUGAGUCUUUACUGGCAGGCAAGAUCUGCGGCCCCGCUUCUCAGAGUGACUUUUCAUCCGAGUCAUGCGCUGGGAAUCAUGGGAGCCAUAGUUAUUCUACAGCAUCGUGAACGGAUUUGGUGGUGCGCAAAAGCAUAGUAGGUAGUUUUGCACUUCCCUAGUCAUUUCACCUGAAGGAUGAAAUUGCCCCCACCACUUCAACAAUUUCUUUAACCAGCGAGCUGCUUCCCCUUUUGACUGACAUGAACCAGAAGACAAAGGGUGGAAUAAUUGACUGCCUUUCUGAAUGUGUGGAUAAAGAAACCGCUCAAACUGUCUGGAACUUUUUUCACACAAUUGGGACUACCCUGGAGAAUAAUCCCAACUGGUCUACGUGAAGGGAUGUAAACUAAAUAAACAUGGUUGUUUGGAUCACAGACUGACCAUCGGACCGCCCCAGGAGCGCACAGGAAUCACACAGACAGGUUGGUGUAGAAUGUGCCUGAGCCUCAUUGAAUGAUUGACAAGCAAUCGAGUGAGGGCACAGCUGCAUAAAAGAGGCAGGAAGCUUUCAGUCUGGGCUGCAUUUUGUUCAGAGG
Molecule: long non-coding RNA, 691 nt
Organism: Acipenser ruthenus (sterlet)
Lineage: Eukaryota; Metazoa; Chordata; Actinopteri; Acipenseriformes; Acipenseridae
Exons: 6
Source: RefSeq, a predicted model, not a curated record